GACGAACGCUGGCGGCGUGCCUAAUACAUGCAAGUUGAGCGAUGAAGAUUGGUGCUUGCACCAAUUUGAAGAGCAGCGAACGGGUGAGUAACGCGUGGGGAAUCUGCCUUUGAGCGGGGGACAACAUUUGGAAACGAAUGCUAAUACCGCAUAACAACUUUAAACAUAAGUUUUAAGUUUGAAAGAUGCAAUUGCAUCACUCAAAGAUGAUCCCGCGUUGUAUUAGCUAGUUGGUGAGGUAAAGGCUCACCAAGGCGAUGAUACAUAGCCGACCUGAGAGGGUGAUCGGCCACAUUGGGAAUGAGACACGGCCCAAACUCCUACGGGAGGCAGCAGUAGGGAAUCUUCGGCAAUGGACGAAAGUCUGAACGGGCAACGCCGCGUGAGUGGAGAAGGUUUUCGGAUCGUAAAACUCUGUUGGUAGGGAAGAACGUUGGUGGGAGUGGAAAGCUCAUCAAGUGACGGUAACUACCCAGAAAGGGACGGCUAACUACGUG
Molecule: ribosomal RNA, 497 nt
Filed under: uncultured bacterium
Lineage: Bacteria
Description: partial 16S ribosomal RNA
Rfam family: Bacterial small subunit ribosomal RNA
Source: RNAcentral